Molecule: long non-coding RNA, 13916 nt
Organism: Pan troglodytes (chimpanzee)
Lineage: Eukaryota; Metazoa; Chordata; Mammalia; Primates; Hominidae
Exons: 2
Source: RefSeq, a predicted model, not a curated record
UCCAGCCUAUGGAGAGAUGCUGCUUGAAUCUAUGUUUCACUGCAAAGUAAAACUAAUAGGCAUUAAUGCAAUCAAAUAGGAUUUAUUGAUUACUUACUACAUACAAAUGUUGGGCUUUGGGAGGUGAAGAUGGUCCUGCUCUUCAAAAUCUGUUCUAUUAGGCACAACAACAUUAGUAAAAAGACUAGAGGCACAGAUACGUCGCUAGGGGAAUUCAAAAGAGAAUGAAUUUUUUUUUUCCAAAUGGGAGAGGCAGGGUAAAACUUACCAGAGAAGCUGUCAUUUAAUUUUUUUUUUUUUUGAGUCGGAGUCUCACUCUGUCUCCCCGGCUUGAGUGCAGUGGCGUGAUCAUGGCUCACGGCUACCUCCGCCUCCCAGGUUCAAGUGAUUCUCCUGUCUCAGCCUCCUGAGUAGCUGGGUCUACAGGCACCUGGCACCAUGCCCAGCUAAUUUUUUUAUUUUAUUUUUUAAUAGAGAUGGGCUUUCACCAUGUUGGCCAAACUGGUCUUGAACUCCUUACCUCAAGUGAUCCUCCUGCCUCAGCCUCUGAAAGUGCUGGCAUUACAAGUGUGAGCCACUGCGCCUGGCCUAAUUUUUAUCUUUAUGUCUGGGAUUGGUACUUGAGAAGGCUGGAAACUAUAUUGUUGUUAAUAAGGAACUUCCUGAGAAAGACAUGGAGUUGGGGUAUUUGUGAUAACCAUUAUGUAAGUGUAGUUUAUUUAGACCACAGAAUGUGUGAAAGAGAGUGGCAGGUGGAAGUCAAGUUAGAAAGGUUGGGAUUAGAUGGUCUAGGACUUCAAAUGCGGUCCUUUGGAAAGAUCUUGUUUCCUGCAGAGCAGUCUGCUGGCAUGGUAUGCAACUGGGGAGACAAGAAGCAGCAGGAACCUAGAUAGGAGAUUAUGGUGUUUGCUUAGGUCAGAGUUAUAAGGGUGGAAGCAAGUCAGUGUGAAUGAGGGAGUCUUAAAAAAGAUGCUGUUAAGCCAGGCGUGGUGGCUCAUGCCUGUCAUCCCAGCACUUUGGGAGACUGAGGCUGGUGGAUCACCUGAGGUUGAGAGUUCAAGACCAGUCUGACCAACAUGGGGAAACCCCGUCUCUACUAAAAAUACAAAAUUAGCUGGGCAUGAUGGUGCAUGCCUGUAAUCCCAGCUACUCGGGAGGCUGAGGCAGGAGAAUCACUUGAACCCGGGAGGCGGAGGUUUCAGUGAGCCGAGAUCGCACCAUUGCACUCCAGCCUGGGCAACAAGAGUGAAACUCUGACUCAAAAAAAAAAAAAUGCUAUUGAAGGAUUGCUAGGUAUGAUUGGCAAACUGCUUGUAUGGCUUUGAGAGGCUAGCGGAGAAGAGGACUAGGUAAUUACACUGAGGGUUCCAGCCAUGUUGAUUGCUAGGAUUAUGGGGCCCCAUAACAGCAGAGGGCUCUUGUAAGGAAGGGUCAGGUUUAGGUGGUAGGAUGAUGAGGUUGGGUUGGAUGACUUAAGGGAGGGCUCUCCUUAUAGGGAUGAUCAAAGGCAUCUCCUGGGGCCUCUGGGGAAAUGAUCUGUUUUUGUGUCAUACUGGGACUAGGCACAUGCUGUAACACCAAAAGUAUUAUAAAAUUUACUCAUCUGUUAUGUAUUGGUGUUUUCCCCAAUUAGACUGCAAGUUCCUUGAGGUCAAGACCUCUGCUUAUUUAUCUCGGUGCAUUUUUUGCCUGGCGCACUAAAGGUGCUCAGUACAUGGGUAGUGAAAUAUUGGGGAAAUAGGAAAAAAAAAAGAUCUUUUUGAAUUCAAGUUUGUUUCGUAAACACUGGCCAAUAAAGUAUAAGAUUGUAAGAAUUAAAGGGGCAGGGCGCGGUGACUCACACCUGUAAUCCCAGCACUUUGGGAGGCCGAGACGGGUGGAUCACGAGGUCAGGAGAUUGAGACCAUCCUGGCUAACAUGGUGAAACCCCGUCUCUACUAAAAAUACAAAUACAAAUAAUAAUAAUAAUAAUAAUAAGCCAGGCAUGGUGGCAGUUGUCUGUAGUCCCAGCUAGUCGGGAGGCUGAGGCAGGAGAAUGGCGAGAACCUGGGAGGCGGAGCUUGCAGUGAGCCAAGAUCACGCCACUGCACUCCAGCCUGGGCUACAGAGCAAAAAAAAAAAAAAAAAAAAAAAGAGUUAAAGAAAGAGGAGAGAAACACGAAGGGCUGCUUAACAGUUAACAGGUUUAUUCUGAACCUGGGAGGGACUUCUGACUGAGUUAGGUCAGAAGCCACACUCUGUUACAGACUAAGAGUUUUCAAGGAUUUAGGGCGGGUGAGUUUAUCAGAAGCCUGUACUGCUUCUGUGUCUCUUUGUUGUGCUUAUGUGGGAGGGAGAGGUGGUGUGUGUCUGUUCCCAUACCUCUUUCUGCAGCCGCAGGCAUACCCCUGAGUCUGCUUUUAGCUGCCCUAUCUUAGUGCACCUGAACGGAAAGGAAUGUGCUUAUUAAGGCCCACUGUUUUACUGGGGCCCAGUGUAUGAGGGUGAAGUUUGGCAGUUACCCAAGAGACUUUUCCCUUACCUCCCUCUGUGCCCCAGGAGUCUUAUCUGUGUUUUACUGUCUGCUGUUUCUGGCUGCUUGUAGUUGGAAGUGAUUUCCUUGAAUGCGUGAAGCUAGAAAGGGAGGUGGAACUUAAAGUGGCGGGGUUUAUCCGAGAUGACGGUGCUCCUGCUCUGUCAAAGAUGUGAAAAAAGGUGAAAAUAUUUGCAAAAAAUUAAGAUGACGGUUAUUUCUAGAAAGAUUGAUCACAUACAUUCGCACACGCAGAGUCAGCUUGAAAUAUUUAUUUAUUUAUUUUUGAGACAAAGUCUAGCUUUGUCGCCCAGGCUGGAGUGCAGUGGCACAAUCUUGGUUCACUGCAACUUCCGCCUCCCAGAUUCAAGCGAUUCUCCUGCCUCAGUCUCCCCAGUAGCUGGGACUACAGGCGCACACCACCACACCAGCUAAAAGAUGGGGUUUCACCAUGUUGGUCAGGCUGGUUUCAAACUCCUGACCUCAAGUGAUACACCUGCCUCGGCCUCCCAAAGUGCUGGGAUUACAGGCGUGAACCACUGAGCCCAGCCGGAAAUUUAAUGUCGUAGGAAAUCGAAGAGUUGAUUAAAAUUAUUAGCUACCAGGCAAUAAUAUGAAAAUCAGUGUAUUGUCAUAAAGAUAUCUAAGGUAUUACGUUUUGAAGUUGUAUAAAAAGGUGAAGUUAAAAUGUUUUUAAAAAGUCAAUGUGUCUAUUUUACAUAGGGUUGCCAUUUCUGUUUUUAAACUUUAGUUGGGUUUUAAAUUCCUGAAUUUUCACAUGGCUCAUGUGGGGGACAUUGGGAUAGAAUGGUGUUUGGGGUAUAUGCAUAAAAAAAGGGAGUCUGUCUUAAAUUAAAGGCAUAUAUCCCCCAAAAGAAUGGAAUCUGUUAGUAGUAGGAUAUAGAAAUUUUUUGCAAAAUGAUAACCAGAGAAGAUGUUUCAUUGUUUGAUCAUGAAUGGAAUUGUCUGUGACUGCCAUCAUGGAUUGAGGAAAAUUAUAGAGUAUGAUAUAAGAUAUUUACCCGAAAACGUCCAACAAAAUGCCGGCCACAUUUGGUAGAUGUUAUCGAGUCUCUCUUUCCCUCUCUUGCUGGUGAGUCUUCUCAGGCCUGCAGAGGGAUUGUGGAAUACGACAAGAUGUUCGUACUAGCCUUGAUUGCCAUCUUCAACAAACAAAUGAGAUAGGAUGGCAUAUGAUUCCAAAGAAAUAAUUCUUCAUUUACUAAACCUGACUGGGAAAUGAGGAGGGAGACAAAAAGGAAGAAGUAAGGUGGCAGGAUUGGGCUAAUAGGAAGAUGAGCAAAUUUCUCUGAUCCUGAAAAUGAGAGUUUAAAAAGUGGAUGGGUUUACUCUAUCAGGAAUCAUCAAGAAAGAAGGAAUGCUUAGGAAAUAGAGGUUACGCUUUUGGAAUUUUUUUUUUUUUUUUUUUGAGAUGGAGUCUCGCUCCGUCACCCAGGCUAGAGUGCAGUGGCGCCAUCUCGGCUCACUACAAGCUCCGCCUCCAGGGUUCAAGUGAUUCUCCUGCCUCAGCCUCCCGAGUAGCUGGGACUACAGGCACCCACCACCACGCCCAGCUAAUUUUUUGUAUUUUUAGUAGAGACGGGUUUCACCGUGUUAGCAGGAUGGUCUCGAUCUCCUGACCUCGUGAUCCGCCCGCCUUGGCCUCCCAAAGUGCUGGGAUUACAGGCGUGAGCCAUCACGCCCGGCCACGCUUUUGGAUUUUUAAAGCAUCCUUGAAGCUCCUAAUAUGAAGGGUGCUGUGCUUCAGGGAAUAAGCAGGCAAAUUGUGUUGCAUUUUUUAGGGUAUGUCCUUCCCUGGAACAAGACAGAAUAUGUAGAAAGUAGCCAUUCUAGAUUCAGAUCUCAAAAAGUGGGCAUGUCUUUGUUAUCCGUUGAAAUACCUAUCUAGAAAGAGAAGAACAAAAGCAAGUCUGAGAUCUACAGAUUACUGCUUGGAUAUGGGAAGAAUUUCUGAUAAUGGAACUCUGGUAGACAUGGGUUGAGGACAUAAUCUUUCAGCUUACCUUUUUCUGAAACAGAGCAGUCCUCCUGGCUUGGGAAUAAUGUGUGUCCAAAUGUUAGGAAGUCCUAAGUAUAAGACAACCCUCCUAGCCCCACAUUUUCCCAAUGAAAGAUUUGAAUUAUCUAGAAAAAACUUCAAAAACAAAAUGAUUAGGAUUGCCAUGCUAGAUAUUAUGACGUGUCAUAAAACCACAAGUUUCAAACACUCUGGGCUAUAGAGUAGUGAAACAAGAUAGUCUUCAGACAGCCUUUACUUUUAAACUAAUACUUUCAGGACUUGAGGCCUCUCUGAAUUAAACUAAGGACGCUCCCUGCCAACCCCCAUAUCCCAAGAGAAAACAGAAAGAAAAAGUUUUCUAAGAGGAGAUAAUCUUACUUAUUUCUGUGAAUAGGAGGAAUCAAAAUACCAGUUGUCUCUGGUGUCUUAGUUUCUUUCAGAAAAAUAAGGCUGUAGAUUAACUAAUAGAACACAGAGGCCAUGUAUUUUGGAAGUUUCCUUUAAUGUUGAUAAUGCUAAUUCUAUACAGCAAGUCAGCUCAUACAGCAAGUCAACAAGUUCAGCUAUUUGCUGAGCCUCUUGCAGCCAUGUCAUCUUUGAGCACACUGUAAGAAUUAAAGAAAGAAGAGAGAAACAAGAAGGGCAGCUUGACAGUCAAUAGGUUUAUUUUAAACCUGGGAGGGGCUUUUGACCUUACACACACACUAGGAAGUAAUAAUGUUCUCUGGGUGGUUGGGUGGCCUAUUUAUUUUUUAUUUUUUUAAUUAGAAUUUCUUUUUCUAAGUAACUGCAAUACCACCUGUACUCUGGUAUCUUUUCAGGGGAAUCUAGACUUUGUCAAUUGUCUGUAUUAUAUUCAGGCUAGUGGCUUUUUCAGGGUAUUAAACCUUUCCCUAAAAGGGUUUCAGUCUUCCCUCCAGCUCCAAAGCAUGUAACUGUGUAUUAGUCUGUUCUCGCAUUGCCAUAAGGAAUUAACUGAGACUGGGUAAUUUGUGAAGAAAAGAGGUUUAAUUGGCUCACAGUUCUGUGGGUUGUACAGGAAGCACGGCAGGGGAGGCCUCAGGAAACUUAAAAUCAUGGCGGAAGGCAAAGGGGAAAGCAGGCACAUCUUCACACAGCAGGAGGAAGAGAAUGAAGGGGGAAGGGAAAUGUUACACACUUUUAAACAACCAGAUCUCGUGAGAACUUACUCAUUAUCACGAGAACAGCAAGGGGGAAGUCCCCAUCACCCAGCCAUCUCCCACCAGGCCCCUCCUCCAACAUUGAGGAUUAUGAAUUCAACAUGAGAUUUGGGUGGGGACAGAGCCAGAUUAUAUCAGACUCUUUACUGACAGUUCUGCCCCUUAGAGGAGUUUUCACAGUGAGUGGUCCACCAGGACUUUUGGGAGAGCCAGGUAUUUAUUGUGGAUGCUGUGUAGAAGCAAACACCUUAGGCAAAUGAGAAAGCUUUUGCUCUCUGAGUAGCUGUAUGCUUUUGUCAAAACAGAGGUUAAUAAAAGUGACAAGAAUGUGUAACACACUUCAUGUUAAUAGGCCUGGUGGUGAUUAGACAAGAAAAAAGCCAUUUCUUGAUAGGAAGGUACUGAUAUAUUUUAAUAUGUGUCAGUUCUCUUUUGCUGCAACCACCCACCUCAAACUAACUAACAUUAAUUUAUUUAGCUCAUAAUUCUUCAGAUCAGCCUGGAAGUCUUUUGGUCUUGGGUGACUUUGCUGGUUGAUGAUGGGCUGGGCUGGGGCCCAGGGGCCUCUAUUCACAUGGCCUCUCAUCCCCCAGCAGCUAUGCUGCACUUUAUCACAGGGUGGCAGGGUUUCAAAGAGCAGCGAGGGGGGCAAGCCCCAAUGCACGAGCAUCUUUCAAGCCUUUGCUUGUAUCACAUUUGCUCACUUCCCAUGGACCAAAGCUAGUCACACGGUGGAGCUUCAAGUCAAUGAGAAGGCACUCAGAUCUACAGGGCAGGGGCACUUGGGUACUGGGACAGGAGGAGUCGAUGGCCACAUUUACAGUCUACAUACAGCACAACAGACCACACUUGUCAAGGAGUAUAACCUUGAACCUACUGGGGCUCAGUAUUCUUCAGAAACUCAGUUGAUGAUUAUAAUUAUGUGAAUAGCCCAGAUGAUAUGCAAUCCAUUUUCUCCUUAAGCCCAGAGGUCUCAAGCCCUCCGUUGAUAAGAAGUAGGUUUUGCUUUUCCUACAGCCUGUUUAUCACUUUUUUUUGGAGCCAACAUUGAAAAACCAAGAGGUUUUACAUAAAAUCUGGACUUUUGACUUUGAAAAGAUGAUCUGGCAAAAGUUGUCAAGAGCCAAGGAGUGCUUAUCUUUUCCAGGAAGCCCUGUGGUUUUCAGUUUCCCACACUCCUCCCGUCUUGCUGUUUCUUCAGCCCUGAGGCUGAGUGUCAUCUGCCACUUGUCAGAGGAAUUGCACGGUUGAUUUUCUUAUAGCAGAGAAAUUCCUGUCACCAUUUCUAAAAAAGUGAAAUAAUGAAAGGUAGACUGAGAGGCCACAUAGUCCCAGAAAAAUGGAAGAAAGCAUAUCACUUUGAGUAAGGAGAGAAUAUUCUUGUGUGUUUCAUAUGCAGUCUGCAUUUUGGUACACAAAGAACUUUUGAGAGAGGAGAGAAUAUUCUUUUUUUUUUUUUUUUUUUUGGAGAUGGAGGAGUUUUGCUCUUGUUGCCCAGGCUGGAGUACACUGGUGCGAUCUCGGCUCACCACAACCUCCACUUCCCGGGUUCAAGUGAUUCUCCUGCCUCAGCCUCCCAGGUAGCUGGGAUUACAGGCAUUUGCCACCACACCCGGCUAAUUUUGUAUUUUUAGUAGAGACGGGGUUUCUCCAUGUUGGUCAGGCUGGUCUCAAACUCCCGACCUCAGGUGAUCCGCCCACCUUGGCCUCCCAAAGUGCUGGGAUUACAGGCGUGAGCCACUGUGCCUGGCUGGAGAGAAUAUUCAUGUAUGUUUCAUAUGCAAUCCGCAUUUUGAUACACAAAGAAUUCUUUUCCGUCUUAAAAGUGGCUUACUUGACUCACAUUAUUUCCUUGGUCCCUGUAGACAUGUGAGUUUAGAACUUUGUUCCAGAACACUGUACCAUCUGUGCAUUCAGCUUUGCAGUCCUAGAGAGGUGCAUCACAGCUGAUGUUAUUGCUGCGAUGGAAGACUCCAUGGAGUCAUUUCUUAUACAUAGCUCCACGCUGUAAUGCUGACGACACCUUGUAAAAGCAGAUCUCUGUAUGGCAUCGUGUUGUAAGGCAAGGAAGUUGUUGAGGAGGAUGUUUCCCAACACUGAAUAGCUUCUUCCCUCUGAGGAACCUCAGAGAACUGGUUUGUUCUUAUCUUGUGGACAUUUGAAUCCUGUAACAGCAUCUCCCACUUCAUGAGUGUGCCAGAGUUCAGAGUCAAAUUUGUAGUCAUUUGUAGACUUACAAACUCUUAUUUUCAUAUUUAGUCCACGUUAACUGUUAUGUAUCAUAAUCAUCUAUUUUACAUUAUUUUAAAAUUUACAUUUAGAAUCUCAUAGCUCUUUUUUGGUGAGUACUGUAAAUCUAAAGCUUUUUGGCUGCUAGCAGGUUUAUCAUAAGAAGACAGAGCUGUGUUCAGCAUUUAACUAUGACAUGAUUAACUUCUCAGACUCACCUCCUGCUCCCAAAUUUCAUCCCUGUGUACGUUUACUUUCGAACACCUUUUCAUUGAAACUAUGUAGGAACUUUAUUCUCUUUCCUCUGCUACUUCUGUAUUUCUGUUUUGUUUGCUUUGUGUUUUGUUUUCUUUAGUUUUUGCUGAGACAUUCACCCCAUCUUUUAGAGAACCUCUAUAAACUGGAUGUCUCUUUACGUGUUAGGUGCAUAGUAUAUGUUUGAAGAGAUGAGUGAAGUUUAAUAAACAUGCAGUUUUCUUGUAUGUGUUAGCUCAAAAUGGUUCCAGAAAACAGCUACAAUGAAAUGAAGAUUGAAUAUUGCCUGAUUCUUUCAAUAGAAGUUUCUUGCAAUAGAAGUAAAUACUGCCUGAGUCUUUCAAUAGAAGUUUCAGUAGAAGUAAAUACGGCCUGAUUCUUUCAAUAGAAGUUCCCCGACCCCCAGCCUAUCUUGUUUGCACUAAACAUAUGAAGUUUAAAAUCUAAUUUUCUCUCCUGUCUUUGAAUUCAUGGAAUAUUUUUCUGAAACAUGCAUGUCUGGAUGGGCUAAAGAGAGAGAGAGAAAGUGCAGAGAGGUGGCAAAAAUCUUGGGCUGUGGGCUAGAAACGAUCUAGGUUUGAAUCUUGACUGGAUCUCCUGGUGUCUUUCUGAUGUUGGAGGAUAACUUUUCAGUACCCGCUUUCCUCAUUUGUAAAAUGAUAAUAAUAAUAAUGACUGCCUUAUGGUGGCAUUGCGAGUAUGUGAGAUAAGACAUGAAACAUGGAAGUUUCACCUUUGGCAAGGCAGGCUAAGUAAUGUUGGUCAAAAUAUACUUUAAGGCAAAACCUGUUACUUGAGAUAAGAUUGACUUUUUUUUUUUUUUUCUUCAGAGACAGGGUCCCAUUAUAUUGGCCAGGCUGGUCUUGAACUCCUGUGCUCAAGUGAUCCUCCCACCCUGGCCUCCCAAAGUGCUGGGAUUACAGGUGGGAGCCACCAUGCCUGGCCAAGAUGGACUUUUUUUUUUUUUUUUAAGAUAGAGUCUCAUUCUGUCUCCUAUGCUGGAGUGCAGUGGUGCGAUCUGGGCUCACUACAACCUGCACCUCCCAGGUUCAAGCAAUUCUCAUGCCUCAGCCUCCCGAGUAUCUGGGAUUACAGGCAUGCACCGCCAUGCCCAGCUAAUUUUUGUAUUUAUAGUAGAGACAGGGUUUCACCAUGUUGGCCAGGCUGGUCUCAAAUGCCUGACUUCAAGUGAUUUGCCUGCCUUGGCCUCCCAGAGUGCUGGGAUUACAAGAAUGAGCUACUGCGCCCAGACAAGAUGGACAUUUCUUAAUAAUAAAACGUUAAGCCCACCAGAAACAUAAAAUCAUAUAACAACUCAAAAUUUUUAACACUGAAUAAUAUAGUCUCAAGAUUGACAGACUACAAAGGGUGAGGAACAGUAGUAGAUUUUUAACUGAUUUCUCUCAAACUGAUAAAAUUAGUAGGAGUAUUAAAGAUUUGAACAAUGGAAUUAACAAAUUUAACCUAUAUCACAGAAAUAGAGCAUUCCAACCAGUAACUUUGGAAUACAGAUUUUUUCUUUUUUCUUUUUUUUUUUUUUUGAGACAGGGUCUCACCCUGUCACCCAGCCUGGAGUGCAGUGGUGCAAUCUUGGCUCACUGCAGCCGCUGCCUUUUGAGUUCAAGUGAUUCUCCCACCUCACCAUCCCCAGUAGCUGGGAAUACCGGCGCGUGCUACCACACUGGCUAAUUUUUUUAUUUUCUGAGAGAAAUGGGGUUUCACCAUGUUGGCCAGGCUGGUCUCAAACUCCUGACCUCAGCUGCUUUGCCCGCCUUGGCCUCCCAAAGUGCUGGGAUUACAGGCAUGAGCCACCGUGUCUGGUCUGAAUACAGAUUCUUUUCAAGAGCACAGAACUUGUUCACAGAAAAAUUACCAAAUGGCCAUUUGCUGAACAUUAUAGACAUUUCAAAACAGGGUCGAAAUUGUAUAGAGCAUGAUAUCUGAACACAAUGGAAUUAAACUAGAAACCAAUACCAAGAGAUAAUUAGAAUAUUCUGGAAUUUAAGCAACACACUUCUUAUUUACUUGUGGGUCAAAAAGAAGUUACAGUGAAAAUAGAAAAUAUAUUGAUGAGGCCGAGUGCGGUGGCUCACGCCUGUAAUCCCAGCACUUUGGGAGGCCGAGGCGGGCGGAUCACGAGGUCAGGAGAUCGAGACCAUCCUGGCUAACACGGUGAAACCCUGUCUCUACUAAAAAUACAAAAAAAUUAGCCGGGCGCAGUGGCGGGCACCUGUAGUCCCAGCUACUCGGGAGGCUGAGGCAGGAGAAUGGUGUGAACCCGGGAGGCAGAGCUUGCAGUGAGCCGAGAUAGUGCCACUGCACUCUGGCCUCGGCAAAAGAGCGAGACUCCGUCUCAAAAAAAAAAAAAAAAAAAAGAAAAUAUAUUGAUGAAUGAUGAUAGAUAAGAAAACAAAAUAUGUGGGUUGGAUGUCAGCAGAAAUAGCAGAGCACAGACCUUAAAAAUCUUGUUUCUCUGUGAAAACAAUGAGAAUACUGGCAAAAAUGAUCACAAGCGACUUUUUUUACCUGUGGAAAUUAACCAAAGGCAUGCAACAAUGUGGGGAGCAUAUAUUCACGAAAAAAUGGUUGCAUCUCAGUAAGAAAAAAGAGCUUUGUGAUGUUAACUCGUUCUAUUCCAUUCUCACUUUCCCUAGCCUUGAAAACCAGUAGCUCGGCUGGGAGCAGUGGCUCACCCCUGUAAUCCCAGCACUUUGGGAGGCUGAGGCGGGCGGAUCAUUUGAGGUCAGGAGUUCAAGACCAGCUUGACCUACAUAGUGAAACCCUGUCUCAACUGAAAUACAAAAAUUAGCCGGGUGUGGUGGCGGGCACCUGUAAUCCCAGCUACUUGGGAGGCUGAGGCAAGAGAAUCGCUUGAACCCAGGAGGUGGAGGUUGCAGUGAACUGAAAUCGCACCAUUGCACCCCAGCCUGGGGGAUAGAGCAAGACUCCCUUUCAAAAGAAAAUAAAAAAGAAAACCAGUAGCUCACAACCACAGUAAAAACCAGCAGCCCGGCCGCUGUGGGAGGGGGCAAAACAGAGUGGGAACUCCUUCAAAGUCUCAUUCCUUGGAAAUUGUCAUUAUAUAUGACUUGUAUGGCAAACCUGGAAACUUUCUCUCACAGGGGUUGUCUUUAUUUGAAGUGACUCAAGUUUGUCUGGUGCAAAAAACCUUUGGAUGUUUCUCCUAAACAAUUAUAGAUGAUUGUUUAGCUUCACAAAGCCGCCUCAAGUGGCAUUAACAGCUAGGGCAGACAAGAAGCUCACCAAUAAAUGGAAAAGGAAAAGCUGGGCCAUGAGAUGUCAUAGGGGACUUUGAAAAGCUCCAUCGUAUUCCUGGGAAUCUCCAACCCCACUCACACGAUCAGGGCUGUGGGCAUGCCAGAGAAGACUUGAGAAGGCCCUGUGCUUUUGGUUCUUACUGAGUAAGCAGGCAGCGAAAACCAAGGCAGAGUUGCAAACUGCCUGCCUGGGUGAUGAAGGCAUCCCCUAACAAAAACACAGAGCCCCUCGACAAAGGCUGGGAGGCUUACCAGUUGGAAGCAUUUAAGGAUAUCUCUGUCCAUUAAUGAGCUGACCACUAAGCUAACCAAACAGAGACUUCAGUGGCCAAACACAACAAUGAAUAUCGAAUUUACCAAAUUAUUUCAGCAAAAAUAAACACAACAAACAGCAAAAAAGAAAACCAAGAAACGAACAAAACAAUAUUCCCAAAACCAAAGUAACCAACCAAACCAAACAAACCUGGGUUGAGAGGUAUCUGAUUUCCAGAGUUGCCACUAAUGAUAUUUAAAGUAAUAGCCAGGCGUGGUGGCUCAUGUCUGUCAUCGCUUGAACUUCGGGAGGCUGGGACGGGAGGAUUGUUUGAGGCCAGGAGUUUGAGACUGGCCUGGGCAACAUAGUGAGACCCUGUCUCUACAAAAAAUUAAAACAUUAGCCAAGUGUUUUGGUGCAUGCCUGUAGUCCCAGCUACUGAGGAUGCUGAGUUGGGAGGGUUGCUUGAGCUCAGGAGUUCAAGAUUGCAGUGAGCCAUGAUCAUGCCACUGCACUCCAGCCUGGGGGACAGAGUGAUACCUUGUCGCAAAAAAUAAAUAAAAAGAAAAUGUCUAGUGUUUAAAGAAACCGACAAGAUAUACAAAGAAACAAGAAUGUGGCCUAUACACAUGAAAGGAAACAGAAUAGAAUCCAUCUACAAGGAAGCCUAGAUGUUGGACUUACUAGACAAAGAUUUGACAUUGGCUAUUUUAAAUGUGUUCAAAGAACUACAGGAAAGCAUUUUCUUAUCUUUUUUUUUUUCCAAGACGGAAUCUUGCUCUGUCACCCAGGCUAGAGUGCAGUGGCACAAUCUCAGCUCACUGCAACCUCCGCCUCCCGGGUUCAAGCAAUUCUCCUGCCUCAGCCUCCUGAGCAGCAAGGGAUUAAGGCAUGUGGCAUGCCUGGCUAAUUUUUGUAUUUUUAGAAGAGACAGGGUUUCACCUUGUUGGCCAGGAUGGUCUUGAACUCCUGACCUCAAGUGAUCUGCCCCCCUCGCCCUCCCAAAGUGGUGGGAUUACAGGCGUGAGCCAACACACCUGGCCAGAAAAGCAUUUUCAAAGAAACAAAAGUAUGAAAAUGAUGACUCAUCAAAUAGACUAUCACUAAAGUCUCUCAGAGACCCAUGGGGCACCUUCAGGCAUGCCAACAUAUUUAUAAAGGGAAUUCCAGAAGGACAGGAGAGAGAGAAAUGAGAAGAAAGAAUAUUUGAACAAAUAAUGAUCAAGAACUUCACAAACUAGAAUUUGGGAAAUUCACAAAUAUGUGGAAAUUAAACAACACACUUGUUAAAUAACCAGAAUAUCAAAGAGAAAUCACAAAGUACAUUCUUUCUCUGUAGUUGUUAGAAAAUCAAAGAAAGGUCCGGGCGUGGUGGCUCACACCCAUAAUCCCAGCACUUUGGGAGGCUGAGCCAGGUGGAUCACCUGCAGUCAGUUCAAGAACAGCCUGGCCAACGUGGCGAAACGCUGUCUUUACUAAAAAUUCAAAAAAAUUGGCUGGGCAUGGUGGUGGGUGCCUAUAAUCCCAGCUACUCUGGAGGCUGAGGCAGGAGAAUCGCUUGAACCUGGGAGGCAGAGGUUGCAGUGGGCCAAGAUUGUGCCAUUGCACUCCAGCCUGGGUGACAGAGCGAGACUCUGUCUGACAAAAAAAAAAAAAAAAGAAGAAGAAAGUGCAGAAGCUCUUUAUGUAUUGAUAUGGAAUGAUUUCUACAAGUUCACAAUCUUUUACCCCUUGUGCCCAAAAGUGUUUCAGAAUUUUAGAAAGACAAUACAGUGUAUCCACUGUAUUUUAUGGUAUAUCUCCAGCACCCUAGAGCCACACACAUGUAAUUAGUUCUACAAUAAAAUAUGCUUAGUCACAGAAAUGGAAAAAUUAGGCCAGGCACAGUGGCUCACGCCUGUAAUCCCAGUACUUUGGGAGGCCGAGGCAGGCAGAUCACCUGAGGCCAGGAAUUUAAGACCAGCCUGGCCAACAUGGCGAAACCCCAUCUCCACUAAAAAUACAAAAAUUAGGCAGGUGUGGUGGUGCGUGCCUGUAGAACCAGCUACUUGGGAGGCUGAGGUAGGAGAGUUGCUUGAACCCGGGAGGUGGAGGUUGUGGUGAGCCAAGAUCAUGCCCCUGCACUCCAGCCUGGGUGACAGAGCAAGACUCUGUCUUAAAAAAAAAAAAAAAAAAAAAGAAAACAAAA